RNAcentral lists this long non-coding RNA (1126 nucleotides) under Anser cygnoides (Swan goose). RNAcentral describes it as "lncRNA (ENSACDG00005007109.1)". Lineage: Eukaryota; Metazoa; Chordata; Aves; Anseriformes; Anatidae. The record is from RNAcentral.
AUGCUGGUCGUGCCAGGCCUGCCAGGCCUAUGGACACUGGAGCAUACAGCGUUAAGCUACCUUGUGGGAAGGACCUUUGUGGCCUUACUGAGUUGCCAUGAGCAUAUUUUAAGUCAAAGUGUUGUGGGUGCCGAGCAGUGUGGCAGUGGCCUGCAACACCACUCUCUGGUACUGGGCAGCUAUGGAGUGCUGAAGAGGGAAGGAUGAGAUGAUGGGAGGAGCCACCCAAGCAGGGAAUGAAUUGGAGGAUUGGUGAUAGACUCCUACAGCUGCAAUAGGAGAGCAGAGGUAAGGCUGGCUGCAGAGUGGAAGCCUGGAUAGAUUUGGGUGUCUGAAUUAGAUUGGGGGUGUGUGUUUGUGUGUGACAAGCAUGUGAUGAAGCUGUCCCAGGGCUGGAAAGGAACAGAAUCACUUGGAGAUUAAGAUCUUGGCUACAGUUUCUUCCUGUGUUUCCUUGAAUUAACUGAUGGUGUCACCUGUCACCUUACCAUGGGAGAGGGUGAAAACACUGUGCUAGGAGGUGAAGAGCCAUGGUUUCCCCCUUAAAAACAAAUGUGAGGCUCAGACUAGUUUUCUAGCCUUUAGUGUCUCUAAUACCCAAAGUACAAAAGCUCAGUAUUUGUUGCCAUUCAACUCUGGGCAUUGAUGUUAUUAACCAUAGUAGAUGCAAUGAAUAUGGUCUCCUGAGUUGUUAAAAUCUCAUUAUUCUGUGAGGCUGCAGGAAAGACUUUGUGCUCUUUUGCAGAGUAGGGGGAAUAAUGUGGUAAAACUCUGAGAGAGGGAUCCUCUUCUUUCUCCUUUCUCUAGGGUAAAACAGUGUUAUUUGUUCAGAAUUCCUGACUGGGUUUUUGUAAAAGUAGUGCAAUGUGGAUAAUUAGAUCAGUUGUCAUGGUGUUCCACCUUUGCAUCUGACAGAAUGAAACCCAAGGCUAAACCCAAGGCAAACUAAAGGCACUGCACAAAACUGCUGUGCCAAUGCCAUGGAGGUAAAACAAAGCUGUGUGUGAUUAAAAGAUACCAUGUGAUGCUAUGGCCAACAGCCUGUUAUAUGGCUGUUUGUGCGUUAUGCACAUGAAGGAAAAGUGAGUUGUAAUUUAAAAAAAUAAAACUUUGUGCAUGUCAUGCA